UUUUAGGGAGACCAUCUGACCGAAGACCGAACCUUAACUAUAGGUCAAAGUCAGUCAUCCCUGGUCGUUCGAGAUAAUAGAGUAAAAAGCUUUCAAACUAUUUAAUUGGUUCAGGCAAUGGGCUAUUAGCUCAGUUGGUUAGAGCGCACCCCUGAUAAGGGUGAGGUCCCUGGUUCAAAUCCAGGAUGGCCCACCUGGAAAAAAAGUAAUGAGAUUGAAGUGAUGAGUAGUGAACCGUAAAUUCCCAACUCAAGAAACCAAAAAUCAAAACUAAUUAGUGGGGGUAUAGCUCAGCUGGUAGAGCGCCUGCCUUGCACGCAGGAAGUCAGCGGUUCGAGUCCGCUUACCUCCACUCUCACUAGCAAAACCGACAUCAAACCAUCAAAUUAGAAAACAGAAACCAGCACCUAGACCAGCAAAAAGCUCGUCAGAAUGCUGGAGUCUCGACUCUAGUCAGAACCUUGAAAACUGCAUAGAAAUUAAGUCAUCAUCAAACAGGUGAGAGAACUGAGAAAUCAGAAAAUCUUACCAAGACCAUCAAAAACAA
RNAcentral lists this transfer RNA (547 nucleotides) under Oscillatoriales cyanobacterium Alignment_Isolate3. RNAcentral's name for it is "partial 16S-23S ribosomal RNA intergenic spacer". The stretch from base 280 to 352 matches the Rfam family "tRNA". The record is from RNAcentral. Lineage: Bacteria; Bacillati; Cyanobacteriota; Cyanophyceae; Oscillatoriales.